UCUACCUUCUCAUCCUGAAAUAUUAGAUGCUGCUGUCAUUCCGUUUCCUGAUGCUGAAGCUGGGGAGGUUCCUAUUGCAUUUGUGGUUAGAUCUCACAACAGCUCACUAACAGAAGUUGAUGUUCAAAAGUUUGUUGCAAAUCAGGUGGCACCUUUCAAGAGGCUGAGGAGGGUAACUUUUGUGAACAGUAUUCCGAAAUCUGCUGCCGGAAAAAUUCUCAGAAGGGAACUCAGAGAGAGAGUAAGGUCCAAGUUGUAGAACCUGGGCACUACCCUCAAAACACAUGCAGCAGGUUUCAAAGCUGUUCAAUUCUUUCGAGAAGGCUUUUCUAGGUUCUGUUACCUGAGCAAAGAGAUGUAUCAUUUUGCUUCCACGUCAAUGUUACUUGAUAAAAGAUAAGAUUAAAAAGAAAUAAUUGCCAUUUGUUGCUCACGCUCCUACAAAGUCGUGCAUAGCUACAGUGGAAGUAUUUGGACAUAUGUAUAUAAUAAAACAGCAGCGUGCACUUUUUUUAUCUGUCAAAUUUACCUUCAUGUAAGUCUCUUCAAGCAUAUUCUGUGCAACUCCUACAACUUCACACAGCAAUUUCACCUUUUAAUUA
Molecule: long non-coding RNA, 602 nt
Organism: Asparagus officinalis (garden asparagus)
Lineage: Eukaryota; Viridiplantae; Streptophyta; Magnoliopsida; Asparagales; Asparagaceae
Exons: 3
Source: RefSeq, a predicted model, not a curated record